This 504-nucleotide ribosomal RNA is filed under the name uncultured bacterium. RNAcentral's name for it is "bacterial SSU rRNA". It matches the Rfam family "Bacterial small subunit ribosomal RNA", at positions 8 to 507 of the family's 1533-position model. The record is from RNAcentral.
AGAGUUUGAUCCGUGCUCAGAUUGAACGCUGGCGGCAUGCGUAACACAUGCAAGUCGAACGGUGUUGGUGCUUGCACCAGACGAUAGUGGCGGACGGGUAGAGUAAUGCGUAGGAUCUGCUUAGAGAGGGGGACAACCCGAGGAAACUUGGGCUAAAACCGCAUAUUCUCGAGAGAGGAAAGCAGGGGACCGGAAACGGCCUUGUGCUCUAAGGUGAGCCCACGUCGGAUUAGCUAGUUGGUAGGGUAAAAGCCUACCAAGGCGAUGAUCUGUAGCUGGUCUGAGAGGACGGACAGCCACACUGGGACUGAGACACGGCCCAGACUCCUACGGGAGGCAGCAGUGGGAAUAUUGGACAAUGGGGGGAACCCUGAUCCAGCGAUGCCGCGUGUGUGAAGAAGGCCUGCGGGUUUGUAAAGCUACUUUCAGUGGGAAAGAGAAGCGUCUUGUGAAUAAUGGGACGUGGAGACGUUACUCACAGAAGAAGCACCGGCUAACUCUGUG